UCCAUCUCCCUCCUAGCUGCCUGGGCAUCCUGGCGGGCGGCACGUGACAUAUCGGAGGCAAUGCGGACGUCACGGUGGGCUGUAUGCACCUCAGUCGUCAAAGUUCCCAUAGCUUGCUGGAGACUCUGCACAUCGCGGCUGAUCCCUGUGGUGGUGGUGAAAAUCUGCCUCAAAACCUGAUUGUCCAUAUCAAGCUGGGAUGGUGGUGGAG
RNAcentral lists this long non-coding RNA (211 nucleotides) under Olea europaea (common olive). RNAcentral describes it as "long non-coding RNA (OEUR_LNC003055)". Lineage: Eukaryota; Viridiplantae; Streptophyta; Magnoliopsida; Lamiales; Oleaceae. The record is from RNAcentral.